AUCUUUAAAAUAAAAACCAUAAACCUAUUCAAUUUACGAACUCGUAGUACUGAAAAGCUCUGCCGCACCAAUCUGCCUAAGUUUGUGGAUUACCUGAACAGAACAGACAAGUGGAUGUGAGUUUUCGUAAACUCAGUGUGUAACAGAAUUAAACAUGCAAACAUACAGAGAUCUCAUAUACAAUCAUAUACAAGUUCGGGCUCUUGCCAAUUUCAAAUACAGUCAACAGAAUCAAAUACACAGAUUAGAUAUACAAAAUCCUACCCCCAUCCUCUACACACCAUCUUCGACCAUCCCGACACACUAUGUAGGGUUAAAAACACCCACCCAUCCCUACACACCAUAUUGUGCCAUUACGACACGUUUCAAAUAAUAUGCAGCCAAGCUGCAAGAAUAUAGGCGAGGGUCACCUCUCAGAACACUUCCUCCACAUAUAUCCAAACCUACCCCAAAUCAGAUACAGAAAUAACAGAUACAGAAAUAACAGAUUAAACACGUUCAACAUGCUUAAAUACAGUUAAUAGAUAUACGUCUAACAGAAUAAUCAGGCAUGCAUAGCAGUAACACUCAGUACAGAAUAUCAAACUAUUAGAUUUCAUAGUUUUAGGGUUUGGUUAGCCCUUAUCGACCAUACGGUGGCCCACAGUCGAUCAGAACGACCCGUGCGACCCUAGGAAAAAUUUCAGAAAAAUGGGCUCAUAUGCCUGUGUGGGCCCACACGACCUAUAUUGGCCUCGCCCAUGUGGCCCACACGAUCUGGCCCAGAACCCGCAUGCCUAAUAUGGCUUAGCCCUUAUGGCCCACACUGCCACACUCACACCACCACACGGUCGUAUCUUGCGCACGACCAUGCCCUCGUCGACCACAUAGCCGUGUCUCGCACAAGACCAAUCACAUGGGUGACCACACACCCGUGUGACGUCGACAGAAUAGUUUUUUGGCUUUUACAGAAGUUUGAUUCUUUGCGUUUCGGGUACACACCUGAUUUGUUUAAGAAGCUUCCGCAAACCCAAGCCCUCCGAAACCUAAUAAACAACAUCUCAUUAACCAAUUAGCAACCAAUUCACGAAUCGACAUAAACUCGAAAUAACGCAUAAAACUUACCGAUAAUACGCACAAACACUAGUGAGAUUAAACUGUCGAAAAAAGAGUUCACCGCUCACACCC
RNAcentral lists this long non-coding RNA (1167 nucleotides) under Gossypium barbadense (sea-island cotton). RNAcentral's name for it is "long non-coding RNA (GBAR_LNC012908)". Lineage: Eukaryota; Viridiplantae; Streptophyta; Magnoliopsida; Malvales; Malvaceae. The record is from RNAcentral.